This 253-nucleotide ribosomal RNA is filed under the name uncultured bacterium. RNAcentral describes it as "partial 16S ribosomal RNA". It matches the Rfam family "Bacterial small subunit ribosomal RNA", at positions 524 to 776 of the family's 1533-position model. The record is from RNAcentral.
UACAGGGGGGGCAAGCGUUGUUCGGAAUUACUGGGCGUAAAGCGUGCGCAGGCGGUUUUGUAAGCCAGAUGUGAAAUCCCCGGGCUUAACCUGGGAAUGGCAUUUGGGACUGCAAGGCUAGAGUGUGGCAGAGGAGACUGGAAUUCCUGGUGUAGCAGUGAAAUGCGUAGAUAUCAGGAGGAAUACCGAUGGCGAAGGCAGGUCUCUGGGCUAACACUGACGCUCAUGCACGAAAGCGUGGGGAGCAAACAGG